RNAcentral lists this ribosomal RNA (250 nucleotides) under uncultured Staphylococcus sp. RNAcentral's name for it is "partial 16S ribosomal RNA". It matches the Rfam family "Bacterial small subunit ribosomal RNA", at positions 90 to 334 of the family's 1533-position model. Lineage: Bacteria; Bacillati; Bacillota; Bacilli; Caryophanales; Staphylococcaceae. The record is from RNAcentral.
CGUUAGCGGCGGACGGGUGAGUAACACGUGGGUAACCUACCUAUAAGACUGGGAUAACUCCAGGAAACCGGGGCUAAUACCGGAUAACACAUGAAACCGCAUGGUUUCAUGAUGAAAGACGGUUUUGCUGUCACUUAUAGAUGGACCCGCGGCGUAUUAGCUAGUUGGUAAGGUAACGGCUUACCAAGGCAACGAUACGUAGCCGACCUGAGAGGGUGAUCGGCCACACUGGAACUGAGACACGGUCCAG